UGUUGAAUGUGGUUGAGAGUGGAACUGUAGCAAAGGAGAGAGGUAGAAGAGUUGCUGAAGAGAGUGAAAGAAGAUAGAAGAAAAUAAUAAUAAUUAUUAUGUUUUAAAAUAAGAGUUAGUUAUUUAAUAUUAAUUUAAAAAUUUUGUAGUUUGUAUUAACAUUUUUAUAAUUUUAUGUAAAUGAUGACUAUUAUAAAAGUUAGUCCACUGGGUGGUGUCGAUACAGUGUACUUGUAGCAGGUGAUGGUUACGGACAGUGGAUGGCAUGGAAGUUCUCCUUGGAUUACGUUAUGUAAAUAUUUUUGUUUAAGUUGUAAUUUAUCUAACAUUAAUAAAAGGCAUUUUGGUCAUGGCGCAGUGUGGUCAAGUAUUGGAUUUUUUGUGAAAUGGCUAAAGGAAACAGAAUUUACUAUUGAAAUAAAAUUAUGCACCAGAAGGAAGGAGAAC
RNAcentral lists this long non-coding RNA (447 nucleotides) under Androctonus crassicauda. The record is from RNAcentral. Lineage: Eukaryota; Metazoa; Arthropoda; Arachnida; Scorpiones; Buthidae.